GCCUACGGGGGGCAGCAGUGGGGAAUAUUGCACAAUGGGGGAAACCCUGAUGCAGCGACGCCGCGUGAGUGAGGAAGUAUUUCGGUAUGUAAAGCUCUAUCAGCAGGGAAGAAAAUGACGGUACCUGACUAAGAAGCCCCGGCUAACUACGUGCCAGCAGCCGCGGUAAUACGUAGGGGGCAAGCGUUAUCCGGAUUUACUGGGUGUAAAGGGAGCGUAGGCGGCUGUGUAAGCCAGAAGUGAAAGCCCGGGGCUCAACUCCGGGACUGCUUUUGGAACUACAUGGCUUGAUUGCAGGAGAGGCA
This 305-nucleotide ribosomal RNA is filed under the name uncultured bacterium. Its description in RNAcentral is "bacterial SSU rRNA". It matches the Rfam family "Bacterial small subunit ribosomal RNA", at positions 337 to 659 of the family's 1533-position model. The record is from RNAcentral.